Molecule: ribosomal RNA, 836 nt
Filed under: uncultured bacterium
Lineage: Bacteria
Description: bacterial SSU rRNA
Rfam family: Bacterial small subunit ribosomal RNA
Source: RNAcentral
CGUGGCGGCGUGGAUUAGGCAUGCAAGUCGUACGGGCCGCAAGGCCAGUGGCGCAAGGGUGAGUAAGGCGACGGUAACCAACCCCAUGACUGGGUAUAGCCGCGGGAAACCGCGGGUAAUCCCCAGCGACGUCCGGGGGGGGCAUCCCCCCCGGGACCAAAGCUCCGGCGUCGUGGGACGGGCCGUCGUGGUAUUAGGUUGUUGGCGGGGUAACGGCCCACCAAGCCUGCGAUGCCUACCGGGCGUGCGAGCGUGGCCCGGCACACUGGGACUGAGACACUGCCCAGACUCCUACGGGAGGCUGCAGUCGAGAAUCUUCGGCAAUGGGCGCAAGCCUGACCGAGCGACGCCGCGUGGAGGACGAAGGCCUUCGGGUUGUAAACUCCUGUCGAGGGGGAAGAAGGGGCCGCGAGGCCCUUGACUGAUCCCUGGAGGAAGCACGGGCUAAGUUCGUGCCAGCAGCCGCGGUAAGACGAACCGUGCGAACGUUAUUCGGAAUCACUGGGCUUAAAGCGCGUGUAGGCGGGACGGCACGUCGGCCGCUGAAAUCCCCCGGCUCAACCGGGGAAGGGGCGCCGAUACGACCGCCCUGGAGGGACGUAGGGGGGGCUGGAACAUCCGGUGGAGCGGUGAAAUGCGUUGAGAUCGGAUGGAACGCCCGUGGCGAAAGCGAGCCCCUGGACGUCUUCUGACGCUGAGACGCGAAAGCCAGGGGAGCGAACGGGAUUAGAUACCCCGGUAGUCCUGGCCCUAAACGAUGAGAACUAGGUAGUAGACUUGACAUGGGUUUACUGCUGAAGCAAAAGUGAAAAGUUCUCCGCCUGGGGAGUAUGGUC